Beta vulgaris subsp. vulgaris (sugar beet) is the source of this 1097-nucleotide long non-coding RNA. RefSeq lists it as uncharacterized. The transcript is spliced from 3 exons. Lineage: Eukaryota; Viridiplantae; Streptophyta; Magnoliopsida; Caryophyllales; Amaranthaceae. The record is from RefSeq and is a predicted model, not a curated record.
CAAAGUUCGUUUCUUUCUCUUAAUUCUCUUAUCUUUCUUGUAUUUUUUCACUUCAAUUCGUGUAAAAGUAAAAAUUUAACGUAUUGUUGUUAUUGUUUAGGUCGAUGCUGCUCCAGUUGCAGUCGUUCAAUCUGGAAAGAAAGCUAAGAGAGCAGCAGAAGAUGAAAUUGAGAAGGCGGUGAAUACGAAAAAGCAGAAGGUUCAGAGAGAUGAGGUUGUUGUAGCGCAGUAAAAGGCAGAGAAGAAGAAGCCUAAGAAGGUUGAAAGCAGUAGCUCUGAAGAAGAUUCGGAUGAUUCUUCUGAUGAAGAGACUAAGGUGAAAUUUUCACCUUUUUUGUUAAUUUGGAGAAACAUAUUUUUAAUGUUGUUAUAGCUGUACAAGGUUAAAUGUGUUAAAUUUGGAGGUGCAUAGCAUAGUUAUAAAAUUUCAAUGUUAAAAUUUCACCUUUUUGUUAAUUUGCAGAAACCUAUUUUUAAUGUUGUUGUUAUAGCUGUAAAAGGUUAAAAUUGUUAAAUUUAGAUGUGCAUAGCAUAGAUAAAAACUUUCAAUGUUAUAGGGGUUUUUGUAUACUAGUUAGCUAGUCAAGGGACUAGCCCGAUUUUUGGUACGUUAGAAGUAGGUGUACUCUUUGGUGGGCAGUUUAAAAUAGGGCUUUGCCAGCUUUCUGUGACAGCAGAUAAAGCAAGGAACAUUGAUCAUGCUAGAAAGGCUAUUGAGGAUGCUGCUCAAAAGGGUGCCAAGCUAGUUGUUUUGCCUGUACUCGAAAAUAAUGAAGGUGCAACAGAUCAAGAACGAAUGGCUUCAAAGUAGUUACCAUCGUAUCGUCAUCUAUUUUGCUAGCGCGCUAGAUCUUAUUAGUUAGCUUAUUUUCAAGGUUACUUCACUUUGGAUAUUUUCAUUAAACAUACAAUUUGCAAUUAUGUUUAUAGAAAAAUAUUGGUUAGGAUUUCGGUGAAUAUGCAAUACUUGUAGGGAUUUUAAUUAUCUUAGUAUACAUUUAUAAUAUAUUGAUCAAAGUAUUUUUUUACCUUAUAUAUAUAUAUAUCUUCAAGUUUCAAUGUUUGUUUUAUUGUAGAGUAAAUGUACAUAUGUGUGU